CUGUUGAUUGUACUUGAGAAACAAUUAAUAUCACUUCGGGGGGGGGGGGGGGGGGAAUUAAGACAAAGAAAGCCCAACGAAGCAACUAUAGUUUCAAUGAAGCAUUCCUUACAGCUAAGACUCCUACUUACAUAGCCACCAUUCAAUCAUUAUAUCUAACAAAAUAAUGUUGAAAAAGCAUUUCUCGCCUCUCAAAAUAUAACAACCCACUCAGCCUGGCACAUUCCACUUCGUAUCAAAAUGUUAUCAGAUGUUCCACGAUAGAACACAGUAUGAAUUUGCGGUUAACUUCCAUAUCAAACAGCUUAGUUCACAAUGAAAAAGAAUAAAAUGCUGAAAUAUAACUCAUUCUGAAACUGAAUUGACGACCAGUAAGUUGCAACUCAUCACCAUAUAAACUCCUUGUCCAAAUAUGCGUCUACAAAAUUUCCCAACACAACUAUUCUCUCAAGACUUAGAACAGAUACAACAUUGUAUAUAUAGCAUUUAAAUAUGUAAGAUCCUUGCAGUAUN
This 513-nucleotide long non-coding RNA is filed under the name Hordeum vulgare. RNAcentral's name for it is "long non-coding RNA (HVUL_LNC018445)". Lineage: Eukaryota; Viridiplantae; Streptophyta; Magnoliopsida; Poales; Poaceae. The record is from RNAcentral.